GUCCCCUGUCACAUGCACUGUGGCCAGAUGGGGGCCAGAGACCAGGAACAAGACCUGCAGCUAAGAGGAGGAAGAGAAACCACAUCAGAAAGACAGAAAUAGCCGGGUCCCCGAAGAAGCCAGCCCAAACCUCAGCUGGAGCUCACAAGCUCGACCUGCUCUGCCUUCAGCACAUUGGAAGCCAGAUGACGCUGGAGAGUGGUUCAGACCAACGCUGAUGGACUGCGUUCCUGCCGGGAGGCUCAGGAAGGGUUGCUGCAGAAAACACGCUCAGGAAUGGGGCACAUCUCAUUAUUCGUCGGGUGGCCAGCGUCCCCCGGCCACCUUAGUUUGGUGAGCAGGGAGCAAUGGCCGGCGUUCCAGCAGUGCCACAGUGAAGCCCCCCGAAGGCAGGCUCAGACAGGCACCCAGGACAAGCUCGACACCAUAGCUUCAGAGGCCACAGCUCAGUCUUCCAGAAGAAUCUCUAGGCCCUGAGAAGCCCUGAUGGCAUCCUGGGGCGCUCCCAACACAGAGGUCAGCUCCAGCAUCACCCAAAGGGGUCGCCCCAUGCAAAUGUACCCCUGGGACACCAAAGGCAAGUGGGAGAUGCUCCCAGGUGGGGGUGGGGGUGUAAAGUGCGUUCUCAUCUUUAAAAUGAAUGCAAGGGCACCUGCUUCCCUGCAAACUGCCUGGCACAGAGAAGGGAGGGGCCUCAUGAAUGCAUAUUAUCAUUAAUAAAAGCGUUGU
Molecule: long non-coding RNA, 729 nt
Organism: Hipposideros armiger (great roundleaf bat)
Lineage: Eukaryota; Metazoa; Chordata; Mammalia; Chiroptera; Hipposideridae
Exons: 3
Source: RefSeq, a predicted model, not a curated record